GACGAACGCUGGCGGCGUGCUUAACACAUGCAAGUCGAACGGUAAGGCCCUUCGGGGUACACGAGUGGCGAACGGGUGAGUAACACGUGGGUAAUCUGACCUGCACAUCGGGAUAAGCAUGGGAAACUGGGUCUAAUACCGAAUCGGACCACAGGACACAUGUCCUGUGGUGGAAAGCUUUUGCGGCGUGGGAUGGGCCCGCGGCCUAUCAGCUUGUUGGUGGGGUGAUGGCCUACCAAGGCGACGACGGGUAGCCGGCCUGAGAGGGUGUCGGGCCACACUGGGACUGAGAUACGGCCCAGACUCCUGCGGGAGGCAGCAGUGGGGAAUAUUGCACGAUAGGCUAAAGCCUGGUGCGGCGACGCCGCGUGGGAGAUGACGGCCUUCGGGUUGUAAACCUCGUUCUCCAUCGACGAAGGUCCGGGUUUUCUCGGGCUGACGGUAGGUGGAAAAGAAGCACCGGCCAACUACGUG
Molecule: ribosomal RNA, 474 nt
Filed under: uncultured bacterium
Lineage: Bacteria
Description: partial 16S ribosomal RNA
Rfam family: Bacterial small subunit ribosomal RNA
Source: RNAcentral